This is a regulatory RNA element of Bacillus solimangrovi, 105 nucleotides long. It matches the Rfam family "S10-Clostridia ribosomal protein leader". The record is from Rfam. NCBI's taxonomy places the organism in Bacteria, Bacillati, Bacillota, Bacilli, Caryophanales, Bacillaceae.
UAAAGGCGAUGAAGCAGAAGGUUGCUGACACACCCGGCCCCUUUGCCAUGGCGAGCGUGUGGGAAAUUUCUGCGGAGUAUGUCUAUUUAAGAAAAUGGACGAAAA